UGGGGAAUUUUGGACAAUGGGCGCAAGCCUGAUCCAGCAAUGCCGCGUGCAGGAUGAAGGCCUUCGGGUUGUAAACUGCUUUUGUACGGAACGAAAAGCCUCUCUCUAAUACAGGGGGUGAUGACGGUACCGUAAGAAUAAGCACCGGCUAACUACGUGCCAGCAGCCGCGGUAAUACGUAGGGUGCAAGCGUUAAUCGGAAUUACUGGGCGUAAAGCGUGCGCAGGCGGUUUUGUAAGACAGUGGUGAAAUCCCCGGGCUCAACCUGGGAACUGCCAUUGUGACUGCAAGGCUGGAGUGCGGCAGAGGGGGAUGGAAUUCCGCGUGUAGCAGUAAAAUGCGUAGAUAUGCGGAGGAACACCGAUGGCGAAGGCAAUCCCCUGGGCCUGCACUGACGCUCAUGCACGAAAGCGUGGGGAGCAAACAGGAUUAGAUACCCUGGUAGUCCACGCCCUAAAACGAUGUCAACUGGUUGUUGGGGAUUUAUUUCUUCAGUAACGAAGCUAACGCGUGAAGUUGACCGCCUGGGGGAGUACGGCCGCAAGGUUAAAAACUCAAAAUGAAUUGACGGGGUCAUAGCUGUUUCCU
RNAcentral lists this ribosomal RNA (588 nucleotides) under uncultured bacterium. RNAcentral describes it as "partial 16S ribosomal RNA". It matches the Rfam family "Bacterial small subunit ribosomal RNA", at positions 355 to 1375 of the family's 1533-position model. The record is from RNAcentral.